RNAcentral lists this ribosomal RNA (482 nucleotides) under uncultured bacterium. RNAcentral's name for it is "bacterial SSU rRNA". It matches the Rfam family "Bacterial small subunit ribosomal RNA", at positions 30 to 507 of the family's 1533-position model. The record is from RNAcentral.
AUUGAACGCUGGCGGCAUGCCUUACACAUGCAAGUCGAACGGUAACAGGUCUUCGGAUGCUGACGAGUGGCGAACGGGUGAGUAAUACAUCGGAACGUGCCCGAUCGUGGGGGAUAACGCAGCGAAAGCUGUGCUAAUACCGCAUACGAUCUACGGAUGAAAGCGGGGGAUCGCAAGACCUCGCGCGGACGGAGCGGCCGAUGGCAGAUUAGGUAGUUGGUGGGAUAAAAGCUUACCAAGCCGACGAUCUGUAGCUGGUCUGAGAGGACGACCAGCCACACUGGGACUGAGACACGGCCCAGACUCCUACGGGAGGCAGCAGUGGGGAAUUUUGGACAAUGGGGGAAACCCUGAUCCAGCCAUGCCGCGUGCAGGAUGAAGGCCUUCGGGUUGUAAACUGCUUUUGUACGGAACGAAAAGGUCCUUUCUAAUAAAGAGGGCUCAUGACGGUACCGUAAGAAUAAGCACCGGCUAACUACGUG